AGCGGCGGACGGGUGAGUAACACGUGAGUAACCUGCCUUAGACAUUGGGAUAGCCUCGGGAAACCGGGAUUAAUACCAAAUGAAAUCACAUAUGCACAUGCAUAAAUGAUCAAAGCUCCGGCGGUCUAAGAUGGACUCGCGUCCCAUUAGCUAGUUGGUGAGGUAACGGCCCACCAAGGCGACGAUGGGUAGCCGGCCUGAGAGGGUGAACGGCCACAUUGGAACUGAGAAACGGUCCAAACUCCUACGGAAGGCAGCAGUGGGGAAUCUUCCGCAAUGGGCGCAAGCCUGACGGAGCAAUGCCGCGUGAGUGAAGAAGGCCUUCGGGUUGUAAAACUCUGUCCUCAUCCAAGAGAGGGGAAGGUAGUAACUGACCUUUCCAGGACGGUAGAUGAGGAGGAAGCCCCGGCUAACUAUGUGCCAGCAGCCGCGGUAAAACAUAGGGGGCAAGCGUUGUCCGGAAUCACUGGGCGUAAAGGGCGCGCAGGCGGUCUGUUAAGUCAGAUGUGAAAGGUUAGGGCUCAACCCUGAACGUGCAUCUGAUACUGGCAGACUUGAGUAUGGAAGAGGUAAGUGGAAUUCCUAGUGUAGCGGUGAAAUGCGUAGAUAUUAGGAGGAACACCAGUGGCGAAGGCGACUUACUGGGCCAUAACUGACGCUGAGGCGCGAAAGCGUGGGGAGCAAACAGGAUUAGAUACCCUGGUAGUCCACGCCGUAAACGAUGGGUACUAGGUGUCGGAGGUUUCAAGACCGUCGGUGCCGCAGUUACACAUAAGUACCCCGCCUGGGGAUAC
This 794-nucleotide ribosomal RNA is filed under the name uncultured Clostridia bacterium. Its description in RNAcentral is "bacterial SSU rRNA". It matches the Rfam family "Bacterial small subunit ribosomal RNA", at positions 94 to 883 of the family's 1533-position model. Lineage: Bacteria; Bacillati; Bacillota; Clostridia. The record is from RNAcentral.